GCCAGGAUGGCUGAGUGGUUAAGAUGUUAGACUUCAGAUUCAAUGGAUAUAUGUCUGGGUGGGUUUGAACCCCACUCCUGGCA
Alligator mississippiensis (American alligator) is the source of this 83-nucleotide transfer RNA. It matches the Rfam family "tRNA". From Rfam's summary of the family: Transfer RNA (tRNA) molecules are approximately 80 nucleotides in length. NCBI's taxonomy places the organism in Eukaryota, Metazoa, Chordata, Crocodylia, Alligatoridae. The record is from Rfam.